Molecule: ribosomal RNA, 507 nt
Filed under: uncultured bacterium
Lineage: Bacteria
Description: partial 16S ribosomal RNA
Rfam family: Bacterial small subunit ribosomal RNA (bases 20-328)
Source: RNAcentral
GACGAACGCUGGCGGCGUGCUUAACACAUGCAAGUCGAACGGAAAGGCCCUGCUUUUGUGGGGUGCUCGAGUGGCGAACGGGUGAGUAACACGUGAGUAACCUGCCCUUGACUUUGGGAUAACUUCAGGAAACUGGGGCUAAUACCGGAUAGGAGCUCCUGCUGCAUGGUGGGGGUUGGAAAGUUUCGGCGGUUGGGGAUGGACUCGCGGCUUAUCAGCUUGUUGGUGGGGUAGUGGCUUACCAAGGCUUUGACGGGUAGCCGGCCUGAGAGGGUGACCGGCAACAGCGGGAGGCACUGCCGCCACGGAGACUUAAGGAGGGGGGGGGUGUGAACUCUGGACGAAGGGGGGGAGGCCGGAUGCCGCGGCGUGGGGGGCGGGAUGAGGGCCGUGGGGUUGCAGCCGGCUUCAGGAGGGGAAGAAGGGUGAGGGACUGGAGAGGAAAAAGCAACACCGCCUAACCACGGCCCAGAAGCCGCGGUAAGAUGUAGCAGCCGCGGGCCUUAC